Molecule: non-coding RNA, 124 nt
Organism: Paramuricea clavata
Lineage: Eukaryota; Metazoa; Cnidaria; Anthozoa; Malacalcyonacea; Plexauridae
Source: the annotation of a GenBank genome assembly
AAGGUUGUUCUAACAAGUCUGAUACAGUCAUGAUAUGACAAGAAUGUUACAAGGUUGACGACACAAGCUAGGUUGCAACAAUAUUGUUAUAUCACGACUGCAUCGGACUUGUUGGAACAAUCUU